UACGAAGGGAGCUAGCGUUGUUCGGAAUCACUGGGCGUAAAGCGCACGUAGGCGGAUUUGCCAGUCAGGGGUGAAAUCCCGGGGCUCAACCUCGGAACUGCCUUUGAUACAGCAAGUCUUGAGUUCGAGAGAGGUGGGUGGAAUUCCUAGUGUAGAGGUGAAAUUCGUAGAUAUUAGGAAGAACACCGGUGGCGAAGGCGGCCCACUGGCUCGACACUGACGCUGAGGUGCGAAAGCGUGGGGAGCAAACAGG
Molecule: ribosomal RNA, 253 nt
Filed under: uncultured bacterium
Lineage: Bacteria
Also listed under: 1 other name
Description: partial 16S ribosomal RNA
Rfam family: Bacterial small subunit ribosomal RNA
Source: RNAcentral